This 550-nucleotide ribosomal RNA is filed under the name uncultured bacterium. RNAcentral describes it as "bacterial SSU rRNA". It matches the Rfam family "Bacterial small subunit ribosomal RNA", at positions 355 to 896 of the family's 1533-position model. The record is from RNAcentral.
UAGGGAAUCUUCGGCAAUGGGGGGAACCCUGACCGAGCAACGCCGCGUGAGUGAAGAAGGUUUUCGGAUCGUAAAGCUCUGUUGUUAAGGAAGAACGAGUGUGAGAAUGGAAAGUUCAUACUGUGACGGUACUUAACCAGAAAGGGACGGCUAACUACGUGCCAGCAGCCGCGGUAAUACGUAGGUCCCGAGCGUUGUCCGGAUUUAUUGGGCGUAAAGCGAGCGCAGGCGGUUAGAUAAGUCUGAAGUUAAAGGCAGUGGCUCAACCAUUGUAGGCUUUGGAAACUGUUUAACUUGAGUGCAGAAGGGGAGAGUGGAAUUCCAUGUGUAGCGGUGAAAUGCGUAGAUAUAUGGAGGAACACCGGUGGCGAAAGCGGCUCUCUGGUCUGUAACUGACGCUGAGGCUCGAAAGCGUGGGGAGCGAACAGGAUUAGAUACCCUGGUAGUCCACGCCGUAAACGAUGAGUGCUAGGUGUUAGGUCCUUUCCGGGACUUAGUGCCGCAGCUAGCGCAUUAAGCACUCCGCCUGGGGAGUACGACCGCAAGGUUG